This 550-nucleotide ribosomal RNA is filed under the name uncultured bacterium. Its description in RNAcentral is "bacterial SSU rRNA". It matches the Rfam family "Bacterial small subunit ribosomal RNA", at positions 355 to 896 of the family's 1533-position model. The record is from RNAcentral.
UAGGGAAUCUUCGGCAAUGGACGCAAGUCUGACCGAGCAACGCCGCGUGAGUGAAGACGGUUUUCGGAUCGUAAAGCUCUGUUGUAGGGGAAGAACGUGUGUAAGAGUGGAAAGCUUACACAGUGACGGUACCCUACCAGAAAGGGACGGCUAACUACGUGCCAGCAGCCGCGGUAAUACGUAGGUCCCGAGCGUUGUCCGGAUUUAUUGGGCGUAAAGGGAGCGCAGGCGGUUUAGUAAGUCUGAAGUUAAAGGCAUUGGCUCAACCAAUGUAUGCUUUGGAAACUGUUAGACUUGAGUGCAGAAGGGGAGAGUGGAAUUCCAUGUGUAGCGGUGAAAUGCGUAGAUAUAUGGAGGAACACCGGUGGCGAAAGCGGCUCUCUGGUCUGUCACUGACGCUGAGGCUCGAAAGCGUGGGUAGCGAACAGGAUUAGAUACCCUGGUAGUCCACGCCGUAAACGCUGAGUGCUAGGUGUUAGGUCCUUUCCGGGACUUAGUGNCGACGCUAACGCAUUAAGCACUCCGCCUGGGGAGUACGACCGCAAGGUUG